CCUACGGGUGGCUGCAGUGAGGAAUAUUGGUCAAUGGGCGUAAGCCUGAACCAGCCAAGUCGCGUGAGGGAUGAAGGUUCUAUGGAUCGUAAACCUCUUUUAUAAGGGAAUAAAGUGUGGGACGCGUCCUAUUCUGUAUGUACCUGAUGAAUAAGGAUCGGCUAACUCCGUGCCAGCAGCCGCGGUAAUACGGAGGAUCCGAGCGUUAUCCGGAUUUAUUGGGUUUAAAGGGUGCGUAGGCGGGCAUGUAAGUCAGCGGUGAAAAUCUGUGGCUCAACCAUGGUAUGGCCGUUGAAACUGGGGGGCUUGAGUGUGCUAGAGGCACGCGGAAUGCGUGGUGUAGCGGUGAAAUGCUUAGAUAUCACGCAGAACCCCGAUUGCGAAGGCAGCCUGCCAGGGCACGACUGACGCUGAUGCACGAAAGCGUGGGGAUCGAACAGGAUUAGAUACCCCGGUAGUC
Molecule: ribosomal RNA, 460 nt
Filed under: uncultured bacterium
Lineage: Bacteria
Description: partial 16S ribosomal RNA
Rfam family: Bacterial small subunit ribosomal RNA
Source: RNAcentral